GAAACGGCCAUUAAUUUCUAAUGAGUAAAGACCUUAUGUACCAAUAUUCGUUUUUAAGGAAUAAAAUUGGAUAUGUCUUAAAGCCCUUAAAGUUUUAUUCGAGCUUAUCCUCAUAAAGUCGGCUUUCCGCAUAAUGCACGAUGUGCCUUUAAGUACAAUUUUGUGGGGUGUCGUGUUAUGCGAAAAGCUCAAGAUCUUGGCCAUAGAGGCUUGGUUAAAGACACGCCAAGCUUUAAAUGGUUGAUGUGAGACCUU
Molecule: long non-coding RNA, 255 nt
Filed under: Prunus persica (peach)
Lineage: Eukaryota; Viridiplantae; Streptophyta; Magnoliopsida; Rosales; Rosaceae
Description: long non-coding RNA (PPER_LNC000925)
Source: RNAcentral